Molecule: long non-coding RNA, 1000 nt
Organism: Panicum hallii
Lineage: Eukaryota; Viridiplantae; Streptophyta; Magnoliopsida; Poales; Poaceae
Exons: 3
Source: RefSeq, a predicted model, not a curated record
UUUAAGCUAAUGAAACUAUACCUUCGUAUUCAGGAUGUCAUUCAACACUUGCCGCUAUAUGAUGGUAAGUUUGAUACUAAAGGAUAUGUUAAACGGGAACUAGCAGUACAUUUAGAAUUUUGCAAACAUGAUUUGUCAGAAGAACAAAAAAUUCUAGCUGCUGCUGGAGUUCUUAUUGAUUAUGCUUUGGCUGUUUGGAAACACUUAUGUAGACAUGAUAAGGUACCUAAAACAUGGAAUGCGUUGAAAACUAUUUUGAGAGAGUACUUUGUUCCUGAAUAUUAUGCUGAUCAUUUGCUUGCUAAGCUACAAAGUUUGAAAUAAGGUUGUAACACUAUUGAAACAUACUACCUAGAUCUCCAGAUUCAUAUGUUGCAAUGUAGUUUGAUAGAAUACGAAGAUGCAACUAAAAAUAGAUUUUUGAGAGGGCUGAACAAAGAAAUCUAUGAUAUUCUAGUUCAUGAAACAUAUACUUCCUUCCCUCAAUUGUUAAAAUUAGCUUGCACUGCUGAAAAUGAGAUUUUGUUAGCCUUGCAUACUUGCAAUGAAGAAGUGCUUUCAGUAGAGGAGCUUCCUUUUGUUCCUGUAUAUGGUUCUAACAAUUUGCAGGAAAUUGGGCCCAUCUCCAACUCGGGAGAUGAGCUGCCAUAAGCAUCAAUGGAUAAUCAAGAAGACAAGCUUCUUCUACCAUCCCUCCCUAAGGAGGCUCAUAUAGGUAACAUAUGGAGUGCUUCAGAUACUCGAGGUCAAUUUUCAAGAAGGGGAGAAAAUCUUGCUGCCUUGUAUUUUAUUGGGAGUUUUAGGAUUAUAUUUGAAAGAACUUGAAAAGACUCCAUUACUGAACAACACUCAUAACGCCAAAACGAGGACGGUUUGCAGUCAAGAAGGGGAGAAUGAUGACGAUAUCACUAGCACGGAUACGACCAUAUUAGUGCCUUCAUGCCCAAAGAAUUACUUGACUGGAUAAAGCCGUGUGUGAAAAUUACAUGGAAAACUUGGA